Molecule: ribosomal RNA, 253 nt
Filed under: uncultured bacterium
Lineage: Bacteria
Description: partial 16S ribosomal RNA
Rfam family: Bacterial small subunit ribosomal RNA
Source: RNAcentral
GACAGAGGUGCCGAGCGUUAGGCGGAAUCACUGGGCUUAAAGCGUGUGUAGGCGGAUCGUUAAGUACCUUGUGAAAUCCCACGGCUCAACCGUGGAACUGCUGGGUAUACUGGCGGUCUUGAGCCACCUAGGGGCGAGCGGAACAAGCGGUGGAGCGGUGAAAUGCGUAGAUAUCGCUUGGAACGCCGACGGUGAAAACAGCUCGCUGGGGGUGUGCUGACGCUGAGGCGCGAAGGCGUGGGGAGCGAACGGG